GGGGAAUUUUCUGCGGKGGGCGAAAGCCUGACGGAGCAAGACCGCGUGGGGGAAGAAGGCUCUUGGGUUGUAAACCCCUUUUCUCUGGGAAGAAAGUUGUGAAAGCAACCUGACGGUACCAGAGGAAUCAGCAUCGGCUAACUCCGUGCCAGCAGCCGCGGUAAGACGGAGGAUGCAAGCGUUAUCCGGAAUGAUUGGGCGUAAAGCGUCCGCAGGUGGCAGUUCAAGUCUGCUGUCAAAGACCGGGGCUUAACUUCGGAAAGGCAGUGGAAACUGAACAGCUAGAGUAUGGUAGGGGCAGAGGGAAUUCCUGGUGUAGCGGUGAAAUGCGUAGAGAUCAGGAAGAACAUCGGUGGCGAAGGCGCUCUGCUGGACCAUAACUGACACUCAGGGACGAAAGCUAGGGGAGCGAAUGGGAUUAGAUACCCCAGUAGUCCUAGCCGUAAACGAUGGAUACUAGGUGUUGUCUGUAUCGACCCGGACAGUGCCGUAGCUAACGCGUUAAGUAUCCCGCCUGGGGAGUACGCACGCAAGUGUGAAACUCAAAGGAAUUGACGGGGGCCCGCACAAGCGGUGGAGUAUGUGGUUUAAUUCGAUGCAACGCGAAGAACCUUACCAGGACUUGACAUGUCGCGAAUCUUUUGGAAACAGAAGAGUGCCUUCGGGAGCGCGAACACAGGUGGUGCAUGGCUGUCGUCGGCUCGUGUCGUGAGAUGUUGGGUUAAGUCCCGCAACGAGCGCAACCCUCGUGUUUAGUUGCCAUCAUUAAGUUGGGCACUCUAAACAGACUGCCGGUGACAAACCGGAGGAAGGUGGGGAUGACGUCAAGUCAGCAUGCCCCUUACGUCCUGGGCUACACACGUACUACAAUGGUAGGGACAGAGGGCAGCCAACCCGCGAGGGCGAGCUAAUCCCGUAAACCCUGCCUCAGUUCAGAUUGCAGGCUGCAACUCGCCUGCAUGAAGGCGGAAUCGCUAGUAAUCGCAGGUCAGCAUACUGCGGUGAAUCCGUUCCCGGGCCUUGUACACACCGCCCGUCACACCAUGGAAGUUGGCCACGCCCGAAGUCAUUACUCUAACCUGUAAAGGAGGAGGAUGCCGAAGGCAGGGCUGAUGACUGGGGUGAAGUCGUAACAAGGUAGCCGUACCGGAAGGUGUGGCUGGAUCACCUCCUUU
RNAcentral lists this ribosomal RNA (1175 nucleotides) under Microcoleus autumnalis Kvet-2. RNAcentral's name for it is "bacterial SSU rRNA". It matches the Rfam family "Bacterial small subunit ribosomal RNA", at positions 356 to 1533 of the family's 1533-position model. The record is from RNAcentral. Lineage: Bacteria; Bacillati; Cyanobacteriota; Cyanophyceae; Oscillatoriales; Microcoleaceae.